This 274-nucleotide ribosomal RNA is filed under the name uncultured bacterium. Its description in RNAcentral is "partial 16S ribosomal RNA". It matches the Rfam family "Bacterial small subunit ribosomal RNA", at positions 523 to 796 of the family's 1533-position model. The record is from RNAcentral.
AUACGGAGGGUGCAAGCGUUAAUCGGAAUUACUGGGCGUAAAGGGCGCGUAGACGGUCUAUCAAGUCAGGUGUGAAAUCCCACGGCUCAACCGUGGAGGUGCAUCUGAAACUGAUAGACUUGAGUAUGCGAGAGGAAAGUGGAAUUCCCGGUGUAGAGGUGAAAUUCGUAGAUAUCGGGAGGAACACCAGUGGCGAAGGCGACUUUCUGGACCAAUACUGACGCUGAGGCGCGAAAGCGUGGGGAGCAAACAGGAUUAGAUACCCCAGUAGUCC